Molecule: ribosomal RNA, 351 nt
Filed under: Triticum aestivum (bread wheat)
Lineage: Eukaryota; Viridiplantae; Streptophyta; Magnoliopsida; Poales; Poaceae
Description: partial small subunit ribosomal RNA
Source: RNAcentral
AUGUGGAGGGGGGCUCACGACCCUCCUCCCCACCCCCUGCUCGGCCUCGCGCUAACGCACGACGCGCAGUGCGGACAUUCUGUUUUACCAACAAUAGGACGCACGCAACCCCAGAGCCACACCCCUAAGAUUGACAGGGAGGCGACGGGGUGUGGCAGACUCGCGUACGCAUGUGGCGCCGCGGCACGCCGCAUCGCCGCCUGCUCCGGCUCUUUCCAGGCUCGGCCUCGCAGGGGGUGGGGAGGGGGGGUCACGACCCCCCUCCCCACCCCCCUACUCGGCUUCGCGCUAACGCACGCAGUGCGCUUGGUUGACAGGCGCAGUGCGGACAUUCUGUUUUUCCAACAAUAG